This 490-nucleotide ribosomal RNA is filed under the name uncultured bacterium. RNAcentral describes it as "partial 16S ribosomal RNA". It matches the Rfam family "Bacterial small subunit ribosomal RNA", at positions 30 to 507 of the family's 1533-position model. The record is from RNAcentral.
AUUGAACGCUGGCGGCAGGCCUAACACAUGCAAGUCGAACGGUAACAGUAAGAAGCUUGCUUCUUUGCUGACGAGUGGCGGACGGGUGAGUAAUGUCUGGGAAACUGCCUGAUGGAGGGGGAUAACUACUGGAAACGGUAGCUAAUACCGCAUAACGUCGCAAGACCAAAGAGGGGGACCUUCGGGCCUCUUGCCCUCGGAUGUGCCCAGAUGGGAUUAGCUAGUAGGUGGGGUAACGGCUCACCUAGGCGACGAUCCCUAGCUGGUCUGAGAGGAUGACCAGCCACACUGGAACUGAGACACGGUCCAGACUCCUACGGGAGGCAGCAGUGGGGAAUAUUGCACAAUGGGCGCAAGCCUGAUGCAGCCAUGCCGCGUGUAUGAAGAAGGCCUUCGGGUUGUAAAGUACUUUCAGCGGGGAGGAAGGGAGUAAAGUUAAUACCUUUGCUCAUUGACGUUACCCGCAGAAGAAGCACCGGCUAACUCCGUG